This 780-nucleotide long non-coding RNA is filed under the name Homo sapiens (human). RNAcentral describes it as "HSALNT0395964". The record is from RNAcentral. Lineage: Eukaryota; Metazoa; Chordata; Mammalia; Primates; Hominidae.
GCCCUUCUAGGAGUGGGGCAUAGGUCCUGCCCCUGGGGAGCCCCCAGUCCCAGGAGGGGCCCAUCCAGUGCAGGAGCUCAAGGCUGGGAAAAGAGGGGGCCUUAGGACUAUGGGUGGCAGGGAGGCUUCCAUACAAAUUGGUGCUGUGGGUUGGCUCAGCACUUUAGGCAGCAGCUGCCCGUGCGAAGGCUUGGAGACAGCCUGGUGUUUCAGAACUGUGUGAAGUUAAGGCACUCUGUGGAGUCUUGGAGGAAGAGCGCUUCUCAACCACGGUGACUCUUUCGGCGACUAGUGGCCAGAGAUGCUUCUAAACAUCCAACAAUGCACAGGACAGCAUCCCAGCGAGGAAUCAUCAGUCCCAAAGUCAACAGUGCAGGGUGGGAGAGACCCAGCUUUGAACACACCUCCUCCUGGAAGCCCCCCUGGAUUUGACACACCUACUGCCCUUCCUCCCCACCCCUGCACCCUUUCCUUCUCCCCUUCGUAACCCCAGGAGAGGUUAAACAGGUCAAACGAGGAGCGAGACGCGGCCUCCCCCAACAUGCAGAGGAUCCCAAAUCUGAAAGAAGAACCGACACCCACAGAUCUGGGGCCCACAUCCGCACAAUUUUCUGUUUUUCCCCCGAAGAAUUAGAUGCUUUGGUGAUCAAUGCUGCCUUAUGUGAAGCACAGAGAGGUUAGGUGACUUGCCAAAGGUCACACAGCACUUCAAUGGAAGAACCAGGAAUUUGAACACAGUAGAUACAGGGUUUCACCAUGUUGGCCUUGAACUCCUGACCU